Molecule: small RNA, 28 nt
Filed under: Bombyx mori (domestic silkworm)
Lineage: Eukaryota; Metazoa; Arthropoda; Insecta; Lepidoptera; Bombycidae
Description: ovarian small RNA-19191
Source: RNAcentral
UAAGAUCAGUAAUUUUAAGCUGCCGCCU